GCUAGCUCAGUCUGUAGAGCAUGAGAUUCUUAAUCUCAGGAUUGUGGGUUCGAAUCCCACAUUGGGCA
RNAcentral lists this transfer RNA (68 nucleotides) under Bos taurus (domestic cattle). It matches the Rfam family "tRNA". From Rfam's summary of the family: Transfer RNA (tRNA) molecules are approximately 80 nucleotides in length. Their secondary structure includes four short double-helical elements and three loops (D, anti-codon, and T loops). Further hydrogen bonds mediate the characteristic L-shaped molecular structure. tRNAs have two regions of fundamental functional importance: the anti-codon, which is responsible for specific mRNA codon recognition, and the 3' end, to which the tRNAs corresponding amino acid is attached (by aminoacyl-tRNA synthetases). tRNAs cope with the degeneracy of the genetic code in two manners: having more than one tRNA (with a specific anti-codon) for a particular amino acid; and 'wobble' base-pairing, i.e. permitting non-standard base-pairing at the 3rd anti-codon position. RNAcentral also lists the same sequence under 5 other names. Lineage: Eukaryota; Metazoa; Chordata; Mammalia; Artiodactyla; Bovidae. The record is from Rfam by way of RNAcentral.